RNAcentral lists this ribosomal RNA (324 nucleotides) under uncultured eukaryote. Its description in RNAcentral is "partial 18S ribosomal RNA". It matches the Rfam family "Eukaryotic small subunit ribosomal RNA", at positions 1470 to 1796 of the family's 1831-position model. The record is from RNAcentral.
CCCUUAGAUGUUCUGGGCCGCACGCGCGCUACACUGAUGCAUUCAACGAGUUUCUUCCUGGUCCGAGAGGAAUGGGUAACCUUUUGAAAGUGCAUCGUGAUAGGGAUAGACUAUUGCAAUUAUUGGUCUUCAAUGAGGAAUUCCUAGUAGACGUAGUUCAUCAGACUGCAUCGAUUACGUCCCUGCCCUUUGUACACACCGCCCGUCGCUCCUACCGAUUGAAUGCUCAGGUGAGCCAUUCGGACUUUCAUCAUGCUGGUUUCCAGUUUUGAUGAAGGAAAGUCUUGCGAACCUUAUCAUUUAGAGGAAGGAGAAGUCGUAACA